Molecule: ribosomal RNA, 753 nt
Filed under: Triticum aestivum (bread wheat)
Lineage: Eukaryota; Viridiplantae; Streptophyta; Magnoliopsida; Poales; Poaceae
Description: partial small subunit ribosomal RNA
Source: RNAcentral
AUGUCUACCUGCCUCACUGACAUGAUCAGUGCCCAUGAGGUGGAUUUCCUUGGGUUACAAGAAACUAUGAAAAGUAACUAUACUCCUUCCUUUUUUAGAAAAUUAGAUCCACUCCAGAAGUUUUAUUGGGAGUGGAAUCCUUCUAGGGGGGAAUCUAGAGGCAUCCUUUGUGGCAUUAAUAAAAAUAAGUUUGAUAUACUUGAGGUGAAGCAUGGGAAAUUUAUUUUGCAAAUUGACCUUUUCGAUAAGAGUAAGAACUAUAAGUGGGCCUUGCUGGUGGUUUAUGGGGCUGCACAGGAUGAAAACAAACCUGAGUUCAUAGCAGAGAUGUCUUCUAUGUGCCAUAGAACUGCUAUCCCCUACAUAGGGGGAGAUUUUAAUAUUCUUCGUCAUAGUGGGGAAAAAACAAGAAAACCCCCUUCUCAUUUCUCUGAUGUGUUCAAUUCGGUUAUACACCUGCUGGGACUGAGAGAAAUCAAUAUGUCAGGAGGCUGCUAUACAUGGUCGAAUAAAUAGGAGAACCCUACCCUAGAAAAAUUGGAUAGGGUUUUAAUGUCUUCGGACUGGGAGGACCUUUAUCCCCUGGUCUCUGUUCGUAAGUUGGUCAAGGAGAUUUCUGAUCAUAAUCCAUUGCUGUUAGAUGGGGGUGUGGCAUCAUCUAGAGCCCCUGGGAGUAGAUGCUUUAAGUUUGAUAAUGCAUGGCUAAACAAUCCAGACUUUCUUCCCCUGGUGGCAAAAAUCUGGUCCCAACCU